RNAcentral lists this ribosomal RNA (748 nucleotides) under uncultured soil archaeon. Its description in RNAcentral is "bacterial SSU rRNA". It matches the Rfam family "Archaeal small subunit ribosomal RNA", at positions 4 to 760 of the family's 1478-position model. The record is from RNAcentral.
CUGGUUGAUCCUGCCAGACCCGACUGCUAUCAGAGUGGGACUAAGCCAUGCGAGUUAACGUAGCAAUACGUGGCAUACGGCUCAGUAACACGUGGUCAACAUACCCAGAGGACGUGGAUAACCUCGGGAAACUGAGGAUAAACCGCGAUAGACCAUAAUGUCUGGAAUGAUUUAUGGUUCAAAUCUACAUGGCCUCUGGAUUGGACUGCGGCCGAUCAGGCUGUUGGUGAGGUAAUGGCCCACCAAACCUGAAACCGGUACGGGCUCUGAGAGGAGAAGCCCGGAGAUGGGCACUGAGACAAGGGCCCAGGCCCUAUGGGGCGCAGCAGGCGCGAAAUCUUUGCAAUAGGCGAAAGCCUGACAAGGUUACUCUGAGUGAUCUCCGCUAAGGAAAUCUUUUGACACCUCUAAAAAUGGUGUAUAAUAAGGGGUGGGCAAGCCUGGUGUCAGCCGCCGCGGUAAUACCAGCACCCCGAGUGGUCAGGACGAUUAUUGGGCCUAAAGCAUCCGUAGCCGGUUCCUUAAGUCCUCCGUUAAAUCCACCUGCUUAACAGAUGGGCUGCGGAGGAUACUAUAGAGCUAGGAGGCGGGAGAGGCAAGCGGUACUCAGUGGGUAGGGGUAAAAUCCGUUGAUCCAUUGAAGACCACCAGUGGCGAAGGCGGCUUGCCAGAACGCGCUCGACGGUGAGGGAUGAAAGCUGGGGGAGCAAACCGGAUUAGAUACCCGGGUAGUCCCAGCUGUAAACGA